CAUUCCUCCAUGGCUUCUGCAUCAGCUCCUCCUUCCUGACCUGCUUGAGUUCCAGUCCUGACUUCCUUUGGUGAUGAACAGCUGUGUGGAAGGAGUGAGGCUGGGAAUAUUUAACCAGACUCUGAAGGUCUGUCCUGGCCAACUACACAUGACGGAACAGCAAAGAGGACGAUUAACUCCCUGUGAACUGACCAGUAAGCGCUGCAUACUGCGAGCCCGUGUAAAGACCAGGGUGAAAGCAGGGCCAUUUGAAUGAUGGCCAGACCUGACAAAUCUGUGGGGAACAGUUUUGGUUUUGCCAUAUUUUGAUUUGUUUUCAUUGAGACAGAACCUCACUAUGUAGCCAAGACUGGCCUCGGAUUCACCACCCUCCUACCUCAGCCUUCGAAAUGGUGAGAUUAUAGGGAUGUGCCACCAUCCCCAGAUUGCCUGGGGAACUGAUGAAGGAAAGCAGUUCCUUUUCUGAGGGACUCGUCCACCAAAAAGGAAUGCAGCCAGGAUACCAAGGACCACGACCACAAGGGCAUACCAGGGAGAAACCCCAGCAUGUGUUCAUGGGCACAGCCCAAGUGUGUCAUGCAAUCUUAGAUAAGUCACUUAGCCAUUCUGCAAGACGGAAAAGAGAGCUGUGCCCAGCUCACAAGAUCAUUCUGGGAACAAACACCUGUGAUGUGUUUGCAACAGUGCCCAGCAUGUGGCGAGCGCUUGUUAAACAAAAUGUGUGUUGUGAAAGAUUUUAUAAUCUGGAGUUAAAAACCAGGGUCUACCGUACUUGGCACUGUGGAGCUAAGUAGCCAGGGGAAUGAGCUGUGGGUUGCUGGUGGCUACAGUCAAAUUCCAUGGAGAUAACCACUGUGGACCACAGGUUUGCCAUGAGCCACCAGGGUGAUGGUGGUGGGCGCUUUAAAUGCAUCUCAUCUAUGUGAGAACAAUCUGCAGCUGAAUUUGAUUCUAAGUAAAAUUGGUAUGGCUCAAUGGGAGAGCACUCACCUAGCACGCAGGAGUCACUGAGUUCUACCCCAGCUCCCAAAGAGUGAAGCUCUAGAUAUAAGGAUAAUAAUAGGCCGGGCACGGGGUGAGGAGUCUCCCAGGGUCUACAGCUCACAGGCAGAGAGCUAGUCUCUGAAGAAGGAUGGUUCCCGUGAGCCACUGGUGACCCAGUCAGGUGACCACAGUGCCAGACUAUAGCCUGGCACCCGGACUCACCCACAGACAAGAUCUCUUGGCACUUCUCGCACUGGCCCUUCAUCUUCAGGCAUC
Molecule: long non-coding RNA, 1260 nt
Organism: Apodemus sylvaticus (European woodmouse)
Lineage: Eukaryota; Metazoa; Chordata; Mammalia; Rodentia; Muridae
Exons: 2
Source: RefSeq, a predicted model, not a curated record